This is a long non-coding RNA of Xenia sp. Carnegie-2017, 1308 nucleotides long. RefSeq lists it as uncharacterized. The transcript is spliced from 3 exons. The record is from RefSeq and is a predicted model, not a curated record. NCBI's taxonomy places the organism in Eukaryota, Metazoa, Cnidaria, Anthozoa, Malacalcyonacea, Xeniidae.
UGUCAAAUUUUACAUGUGGUUUAAACAUCUCUCAUACAAGAAGAACUACAAACUUUCACUGUUUAUGAACGUGAAGAAAGAAUUUAAAGGUGGCGAAAUUAUAUUAACAUGUUACGUCAUUUCAAUUGUUGUCGUCAUUGAUCACGUGAUUAUAUCAUGGUAAACGUGGAUCAAUUCAUACCUGUUGUGGAUUACAUUAUGGUUGUCGUUGAUUGACAUCAUCAGCAUCAUUUGUCGUGGAUUUUGUCAAAUCAAUCUUGGGUUAAUUAGUUGAGGAUUACGUUCAUCUACGAAUAAAAACUAAAGACGACGUUUCAGGUGGUCGAGUGUUGGACACAAGAAGGAUUGGUUGGCACGCCGUUUGGUAAUGUAUAAGGGCCCAGGGAGGCGGUUUUCCAUCCCUUAGGUUCCCUCUCGGCUCGGAUACUAACGUUGCUUUACAGGUGUCUCAUCGUUCAAAGGUUUGUUUUAAUCAGUUUUGUGCAGCGUAGUUGGUAGGUAGAUUUUUAAAUCGGUUAUUUCAUGCCACUGAUUAACAGGGUUAGCUAUAAGGAUGCACAUAAGCAAAAAAUAGCACAGCUGAAAGCGGCCUAAAAAUGGCGUUAAGCCGCAGUUUCGGUUUUUUAAGGAUGCACAUUGCCUAAGUCGCCUCUUUCAACGGAGGAUUGCUAUGGAUCGAGUGCUGGUAGAAGAUGUAUGUUGAACACUUUCUGCUGAACAAGCAUAUAUUGUGCGCAAUGAAUAAAAUAGGACUAUCCUUGUUUUGUAAGUUACAACACAACACAUCUUCAAUGAAGUAAAUCGUCUGUUAUUAUAAAAUAUAUACAUUAUCACGAGAAUUUUAAUCACUACUUGUAUGCAAAGAUCGCAGGAUCAAGACACUCGGCAACAUUUUACUCCGCCGACCACAAUUUAAAUGUUCUGUCGAAUGAACUGGACGCUAUGUAGUGACCAUCUAUACAUAAAGAAAUGGAAGUCAAUAUCAACAUAAUUAAAAUUAAAAAUACGCAUAAGUGACAGUUGAGAAAAAAACUAUCAUGCUGCACAUCGUCAAGGAAAAUAAUAAAGAUAUGGAAAAUAAGUUUUGAUUUUACCUGGAGAAAGAUCAACACAAGAGACUUUUUGUUCGUGUCCAGCCAAAGUUUUUAACGGUAUCCAACCUGGAUGUGUCCAUACCUUCACUUUACAAUCAUAAGAUCCAGUUAGUAAAUAUUGAUCUACAAAGUAAUUGACAAUACAUAAAAUGAAUAUGUAAAAUAAACUUUGCUUGCGGUAAAAUAAAUGCAAUCAUAUUUUGUUCAAUACGAA